AUUUUUAUAGUGUAUACAACACAUAACAUUUUCAUUGUUAAAACGCAUUAAGCUAAAAAUA
This 61-nucleotide transfer RNA is filed under the name Alectorobius cerradoensis. Its description in RNAcentral is "tRNA-Glu". Lineage: Eukaryota; Metazoa; Arthropoda; Arachnida; Ixodida; Argasidae. The record is from RNAcentral.